GACGAACGCUGGCGGCGUGCCUAAUACAUGCAAGUAGGACGCAGUUGCGAACGGGUGAGUAACGCGUUGGUAACUACCUAUUAGAGGGGGAUAACUCUUGGAAACGAUCGCUAUUACAGCCUACUAGUAGUUGGAUCUGCGGUGUAUUAGCUAGUAGGUAGGGUAAUGGACUACCUAGGCAAAGAUACAUAGCCGACCUGGGAGGGGGAUCGGCCACACUGGGACUGAGACACGGCCCAGACUCCUACGGGAGGCAGCAGGAGGGAAUGUUCGGCAAGGGGGGGAAACCUGACCGAGCAAAGCCGCGUGAGUGAAGAAGGUUUUCGGGUCGGAAAGCUCUGUUGUUAAGGAAGCGGUACUUAACCAGAAAGGGACGGCUAACUACGUGCCAGCAGCCGCGGUAAUAC
Molecule: ribosomal RNA, 407 nt
Filed under: uncultured bacterium
Lineage: Bacteria
Description: partial 16S ribosomal RNA
Rfam family: Bacterial small subunit ribosomal RNA
Source: RNAcentral